RNAcentral lists this transfer RNA (84 nucleotides) under Variovorax sp. WDL1. RNAcentral's name for it is "tRNA-Leu". It matches the Rfam family "tRNA". Rfam says of the family: Transfer RNA (tRNA) molecules are approximately 80 nucleotides in length. The record is from RNAcentral. Lineage: Bacteria; Pseudomonadati; Pseudomonadota; Betaproteobacteria; Burkholderiales; Comamonadaceae. RNAcentral also lists the same sequence under 1 other name.
GCCCGGGUGGUGGAACUGGUAGACACGCUAUCUUGAGGGGGUAGUGGCCGUAAGGCCGUGCGGGUUCGAGUCCCGCCUCGGGCA